AGUGGGAAUGGGAACUUGGAAAUGGGCGCAAGCCUGAUCCAGCCUGCCGCGUGAGUGAUGAAGGCCCUAGGGUCGUAAAGCUCUUUCGCCUGUGAAGAUAAUGACGGUAGCAGGUAAAGAAACCCCGGCUAACUCCGUGCCAGCAGCCGCGGUAAUACCCCC
This 162-nucleotide ribosomal RNA is filed under the name uncultured Alphaproteobacteria bacterium. RNAcentral describes it as "partial 16S ribosomal RNA". It matches the Rfam family "Bacterial small subunit ribosomal RNA", at positions 350 to 528 of the family's 1533-position model. Lineage: Bacteria; Pseudomonadati; Pseudomonadota; Alphaproteobacteria. The record is from RNAcentral.